GCUUAGAUCUGGUAGCAAGUUUCAAGAGGCUGUGUAGCAGACUGCAGCCCACAGGAGUCCAUUCACAUGGAUCUCCAUACACAAGCAGUGGACUUCAGAUGUAAAUGAAGAGGAAUAACCAGGGAGGGUUCCUUCAAGGGACAGUAAAGUGCCAAGAGCUGCAUGAAGAGUACAGUGCAAAUGUUUUGAGAGUCUCCCACAAAAGGAUCUGUUGUUUUGGAUGAUGUAGGAUCACAACUUUCAGCAUUAUGAUGCCAAAGCAGUCACCAAACUGGACAGUGGAUUAGAUGACUGAGUUCCAUGGUUAUUUGCAUUUUUAUCCUGCGUUUCUGAUCCAGUAUCUGAUGUAUUUGGAUCUUCCCUGCUUCUCAAGUUCAGAUUAGUUUCAGCACCUGAUAGAAACAGAGAAAAUGCUUGUCAGCCUCCUGUUAACUAGUGGCUUUCACAUUAACAGCAUCUCUAACAGUUUCCAGCUAGUAUUUGAUGUUAUUUGAAGAGUCAUCCAUACCUACUUGCAAGAGACUAGCUACAGAGAGCUAUCAGCUGUAAGAGCAUGGUGGGAGUUCAUGUUUAUAAAAGGAAUACAACUUUUAAGUGAAAACCUAAAGACUCUGCAAAAGUGAACAGCAUUUGGACUAUUAUUUCAGUAAAGUGA
Molecule: long non-coding RNA, 655 nt
Organism: Corapipo altera (White-ruffed manakin)
Lineage: Eukaryota; Metazoa; Chordata; Aves; Passeriformes; Pipridae
Exons: 5
Source: RefSeq, a predicted model, not a curated record